RNAcentral lists this transfer RNA (71 nucleotides) under Bacteroidales bacterium. RNAcentral describes it as "tRNA-Cys". It matches the Rfam family "tRNA". Rfam says of the family: Transfer RNA (tRNA) molecules are approximately 80 nucleotides in length. Their secondary structure includes four short double-helical elements and three loops (D, anti-codon, and T loops). Lineage: Bacteria; Pseudomonadati; Bacteroidota; Bacteroidia; Bacteroidales. The record is from RNAcentral.
GGUUCCUUAGCCGAGUGGUUAGGCGCCGGUCUGCAAAACCGUUAACAGCGGUUCGAAUCCGCUAGGAACCU